GACGAACGCUGGCGGCGUGCUUAACACAUGCAAGUCGAACGGGCCUGUCUUCUUUUUUGGGGGGUGGGUUGAGUGGCGAACGGGUGAGUAUCACGUGAGUAACCUGCCCUUCGGUCCUGGAUAACCGCUUGAAAGGGCGGCUAAUACGGGGUGGUCCGGUUGGUCCGCAUGGGCUGGUCGGGAUAGAUUCACUGUUUUUGGUGUUUCGGCGGGGGAUGGGCUCGCGGCCUAUCAGCUUGUUGGUGGGGUGAUGGCCUACCAAGGCGGUGACAGGUAGCCGGCCUGAGGGGGUGGGCGGCCACACUGGGACUGAGGUACGGCCCAGACUCCUGCGGGAGGCAGCAGUGGGGGGUAUUGCACAAUGGGCGGAAGCCUGAUGCAGCGACGUCGCGUGAGGGAUGGAGGCCUUCGGGUUGUGAACCUCUGUUUCCGGUGGUGAAGGCCCUGUCCGUGUGGUGGGGUUGACGGUAGCCGGGGAUGAAGCGCCGGCUAACUACGUG
This 500-nucleotide ribosomal RNA is filed under the name uncultured bacterium. Its description in RNAcentral is "partial 16S ribosomal RNA". It matches the Rfam family "Bacterial small subunit ribosomal RNA", at positions 28 to 507 of the family's 1533-position model. The record is from RNAcentral.